RNAcentral lists this transfer RNA (85 nucleotides) under Escherichia coli. RNAcentral's name for it is "tRNA-Tyr (GTA) (tRNA-Tyr-GTA-2-1)". It matches the Rfam family "tRNA". Rfam says of the family: Transfer RNA (tRNA) molecules are approximately 80 nucleotides in length. Their secondary structure includes four short double-helical elements and three loops (D, anti-codon, and T loops). Further hydrogen bonds mediate the characteristic L-shaped molecular structure. tRNAs have two regions of fundamental functional importance: the anti-codon, which is responsible for specific mRNA codon recognition, and the 3' end, to which the tRNAs corresponding amino acid is attached (by aminoacyl-tRNA synthetases). tRNAs cope with the degeneracy of the genetic code in two manners: having more than one tRNA (with a specific anti-codon) for a particular amino acid; and 'wobble' base-pairing, i.e. permitting non-standard base-pairing at the 3rd anti-codon position. Lineage: Bacteria; Pseudomonadati; Pseudomonadota; Gammaproteobacteria; Enterobacterales; Enterobacteriaceae. The record is from RNAcentral. RNAcentral also lists the same sequence under 21 other names.
GGUGGGGUUCCCGAGCGGCCAAAGGGAGCAGACUGUAAAUCUGUCGUCAUCGACUUCGAAGGUUCGAAUCCUUCCCCCACCACCA